RNAcentral lists this transfer RNA (68 nucleotides) under Marmota monax (woodchuck). RNAcentral describes it as "tRNA.Ala". The record is from RNAcentral. Lineage: Eukaryota; Metazoa; Chordata; Mammalia; Rodentia; Sciuridae.
GGUACGUAGCUCAGUGGCAGAGCACUUGCCUAGCAUGUGUGAGGCACUGGGUUCAAUCCUUAGCACCA